GGAAAUGAUUGUAGCUUAGUGGUAGAGCAUCUGCUAUUCAUGAAGAAGGCCCUAAGUUUGAUUCCUGGCAUCUUCA
This is a non-coding RNA of Podarcis lilfordi (Lilford's wall lizard), 76 nucleotides long. Lineage: Eukaryota; Metazoa; Chordata; Lepidosauria; Squamata; Lacertidae. The record is from the annotation of a GenBank genome assembly.